RNAcentral lists this ribosomal RNA (661 nucleotides) under uncultured bacterium. RNAcentral's name for it is "bacterial SSU rRNA". It matches the Rfam family "Bacterial small subunit ribosomal RNA", at positions 33 to 687 of the family's 1533-position model. The record is from RNAcentral.
ACGCUGGCGGCAGGCCUAACACAUGCAAGUCGAGCGGUAGAGAGAAGCUUGCUUCUCUUGAGAGCGGCGGACGGGUGAGUAAUGCCUAGGAAUCUGCCUGGUAGUGGGGGAUAACGUUCGGAAACGGACGCUAAUACCGCAUACGUCCUACGGGAGAAAGCAGGGGACCUUCGGGCCUUGCGCUAUCAGAUGAGCCUAGGUCGGAUUAGCUAGUUGGUGGGGUAAUGGCUCACCAAGGCGACGAUCCGUAACUGGUCUGAGAGGAUGAUCAGUCACACUGGAACUGAGACACGGUCCAGACUCCUACGGGAGGCAGCAGUGGGGAAUAUUGGACAAUGGGCGAAAGCCUGAUCCAGCCAUGCCGCGUGUGUGAAGAAGGUCUUCGGAUUGUAAAGCACUUUAAGUUGGGAGGAAGGGCAGUUGCCUAAUACGUAACUGUUUUGACGUUACCGACAGAAUAAGCACCGGCUAACUCUGUGCCAGCAGCCGCGGUAAUACAGAGGGUGCAAGCGUUAAUCGGAAUUACUGGGCGUAAAGCGCGCGUAGGUGGUUCGUUAAGUUGGAUGUGAAAUCCCCGGGCUCAACCUGGGAACUGCAUUCAAAACUGACGAGCUAGAGUAUGGUAGAGGGGUGGUGGAAUUUCCUGGUGUAGCGGUGAAAU